UUCCACAACCCAAUUUUGUAUCCGAAGAUUAGCGGAUGAACUCUAGUGGAGGUUCAAGAUCGUGUUUGUGAGGAGGUUUCAAAGUAUCACGAAGCUACAAAGUAUAUAAAGACAUACAAUGAUCCAUGUUCGAGAUACGACUUAAAGGAUCUAUAGUAUAGAGAUAAGGCAAGAUCCAUCUCUUAUUUUAGCUGGCCAUAGUACUCGAGGAGAUUAGAGCUCAAAACCUUUAUAGUAGAUUAAUGAUUUCCAAAGAAGAUCAAUUGGUUGUUGUUCCUUAUAAUCCCGGACUUCAGUCCAAUCGCCAAUAUGUUAGGUUUGUUUUACCUCGUUUCACCUAUGCGAUUCCCCAUCCUUUUCUUCAGCACUUUUCUGUGGAUUCCUCUUUUUCGUAUGAAGCAAGCCAUUCUGGGCGUUGUGGUUACUGUUUUUGGCCGGCCCUCCUCCCCACAACAUGGAACUGACCUUGUGGUGGUCAGGUCAUACGAUGAG
Long non-coding RNA from Cucumis melo (muskmelon), 492 nucleotides. RefSeq lists it as uncharacterized. The transcript has 4 exons. The record is from RefSeq and is a predicted model, not a curated record. Lineage: Eukaryota; Viridiplantae; Streptophyta; Magnoliopsida; Cucurbitales; Cucurbitaceae.